RNAcentral lists this transfer RNA (76 nucleotides) under Pseudoalteromonas rubra. Its description in RNAcentral is "tRNA-Arg". It matches the Rfam family "tRNA". Rfam says of the family: Transfer RNA (tRNA) molecules are approximately 80 nucleotides in length. RNAcentral also lists the same sequence under 1 other name. The record is from RNAcentral. Lineage: Bacteria; Pseudomonadati; Pseudomonadota; Gammaproteobacteria; Alteromonadales; Pseudoalteromonadaceae.
UCCGAGGUAGCUCAGUGGUAGAGCGCCCGGCUCGUUUUCCGGGUGGACGUAGGUUCGAGCCCUGCCCUCGGAGCCA